GCCAGGAUAAGGGCAAAAGGUGGGGGUAGAGGUGAAAGAGCUUUUCUGGGGCCGGUGAUAAUCUGCUUGGGGCAGGGUUCCGGGCACGUGGGCGUGUUCCGUCUGUGAAAAUUCACUGAGCUGUAUACUUAGCACUUGUGCCUUUUUCUGUGCGGAGGUAUGUCACGGCAGUUUUUACAAAAGCAACGGAUGAUUUCACUGGGGAAAGAAUAUAGAACGAACCAGCCUAGUGGGGUUACCCAACUAGACAGCCUCGGUCCGAAUCCCACGGUUACCGCCUAUACCCUGCCUGACCCCAGGCUCCCGGGCACCGGUCCAGAGGCUUGACAACGAGCCACAUUUGGGACUGCCAGAAACUGCCACAAAAGAGUCCGCCCAGAGGGCCUGUGGGAAUCGCUGGGGAGGAGAGGCGCGAUUCAGUCAGGAGCCGCACCAGGCGCCACGCCAGGCCAGGCCGGAGGCCCCUGACGCUACCUGCUGGCUGGGGCAGGCCCUGGGCCCUCGCUUUUCCUCCAGCUCCCUGCUGGAACCUUCCCUCCCAUCGCGGGGCUCCUCCAAACACGGUCCACCGGGCCGGGGCUGCCUUCACAGGCCGGAGAGGGGAAGCAACAGAACUGAGAGCAGGAGCGUCCUACCUUCCAGAAUGGAGCCCGUGCACACCGCGGCACCCUCUCCCCGCCGAGUCUGUUCUCCCCUGAACACCCCUGGCGGACGAGGAACCCCCCCCCUUUACAGGCCUCCUCCAAAGUCCCCACAAUCAGGUGUCCACGGCAGGCUGCGACCCGCUCCCCCCCUCCCCCCACCACUUUCUGAGCAGCCGGGGGCCCCAGGCAAAGCACACCUUCCCUCUCAUCGAGUCCUCUGCUCCAGUGAGCUGAGCUCACCCUCUAAAGCCUGGGCCACAACAAAACCAACCCAAAGGACAUCCAUUUUUACCCCCCGUUAGAAGUGAAUCUAACUCAGCAACUCCCCCACGCCUCCCCCCCGGAGUAGCCCCACUGACUUUUAACUAGCUUCCUGCCUGUCUUCUUUGUCACUCCUUCACUAGCUCUUUUCCACACGCUCGCCGAAGAACAGAUGAAGAGUGUCGCGUGCCCCGAGCCACGGGUGGCAGACCGGCUAGCUCAACGCAAAACCAUUUCCUUGCAUGUCUUGGGCACACAAAUUUCCCAGCCUCCUUUGCACGCGUGUGGGGUCAUGUGGCAGCGCCGGCCAGACUAUGGAGGUGCCCAUCAAACUUGCCACGCUAUUCUCCAUGCUCUAUGGUUUUGGGUUUUUUGGUUUUUGGGUGUGUGUGUGUGUGUGUGUGUGUGUGUGUGUGUGUGUGUGUUUUGGCCUCAUCUGCCGGAAGGAGUUUGCGUUUCUGAAUGCCUGCAGAACACAGGUCCCCUCCUCUUGGAAUGUGACAUGAGCAAGAAAUAAACUUAAUUUGUGUGAAGGCCUGAGACUUGGGGCGGUUGAUACAGCAGUUAGCCUGCCCUGAUGCACAUGCCAAGUUCCAGCCUCUCAAACUUCUUUCUACAAGCCUGGACACGCCAGCCCUCUCUCUCACUGGUUCCCCAUGGAAAACAUCUUUGACCUGUCUGCGUGUAGACCACACCUGGAGCAUUUGCAUCCACGUCCCGUAUUCUGACCCUCAACCUCCAACCUUGGUUCAUGUUUCAACUUUUAAAUCGACUUCCUGCCUGUUGGUAAAAACGUACUGGUUGGAAGUGAACUGAAACUCUCAGAGAUGGUACCCGAUUUUCUCUUAACUGAGUCUUCAGGCCAUAUGCUCUGUGUGUCCAUGGGGCACGUUGAGGGUAUCUGAAUUAAUGACAAGAAACAGGCAGCUUUGUGGUAAACAGAGGCUGACAGACCUACGGACUGAGAAACGGAGUUGAUUUAUUAUAUUUGACUUUCUGAGAUUCGGGGCUGCCAGAUUUCAAUACAUAGUGGCUCCUUCCAGCUGUAACAUUCUAUGAUGCCAUGAAGACCAGACCCGCUUGGAAAACAACCCACAAGGACACUUUCCCACAGUAUGGGCUUGUGAGACAAGCAACGUGAUCAAGGCUCACACAGUAGUUGCUAUGGCUCACAAUUUAAUAAACAGUUAUUACAAAACCAAGCAGAAUCGAGUGCCUUUGACACGGGCGUGAAGGCAGAGCGGGUACCCACCCCAGCUGGUAGACACGGAAGAUUCCUUCUUUGUUAGAGAUACUAUGGGAAUAGUGCUGACCGAUGUUUUCCUACCUGUUACGGGGUCUUCGACUUUAAUCUGCAAGUAUGCAGCAGUUUCUGAACAAUCUGGUUUGGCUAGUAGAACUUGGACUUGGUUCUGAAGUACAAACAUUGCUGCGUUGACACCUCUUGGCCACCAGAGAGCUCUAUGCAUCCAGCCAGAGGCACCUACUGGAUCAGCAAGCACGCGUUCAUAAAAAGCAGGCUUGCCCUGCAGUCCCUGCGGCAUGGAGGACAGGUUCUAUUGUGAUUUCUGAUACGUGCAAAAUGUACUCAUCUGCCCCAUCACCAGCACCUCUGGCUUUGCCCCUCUGCCUUUUGCAACAUGGCACUUGGUGCAUUUAGGAGGCAGAGGUGGUCAACGUGGGUACCAGUUCUCCACACCGGUCGAAUGAAUUCCUAGCUGUGGGGCAAGAGAAGCCGGGGCCUUCAGACUUACUGGUUUUAUUGGUGGCUGCCAGCACUGAGGGCCAUGUGUAACGCAGCACUCAGGACAACGUCUUGUUGUGGGCUUUCUGUGGUGGUAGCUUUCU
Neofelis nebulosa (Clouded leopard) is the source of this 2753-nucleotide long non-coding RNA. RefSeq lists it as uncharacterized. The transcript has 3 exons. The record is from RefSeq and is a predicted model, not a curated record. NCBI's taxonomy places the organism in Eukaryota, Metazoa, Chordata, Mammalia, Carnivora, Felidae.